RNAcentral lists this ribosomal RNA (327 nucleotides) under uncultured eukaryote. RNAcentral's name for it is "partial 18S ribosomal RNA". It matches the Rfam family "Eukaryotic small subunit ribosomal RNA", at positions 1470 to 1796 of the family's 1831-position model. The record is from RNAcentral.
CCCUUAGAUGUUCUGGGCCGCACACGCGCUACACUGAAGGAGGCAGCGUGUACUCCUGGAUCGAAAGAUUUGGGUAACCCGCGAAUCUCCUUCGUGCUAGGGAUUGAGGUUUGCAAUUAUCCUUCAUGAACGAGGAAUUCCCAGUAAGUGCAAGUCAUAAGCUUGCGCUGACUACGUCCCUGCCCUUUGUACACACCGCCCGUCGCUACUACCGAUUGAAUGAUUUAGUGAGGACUUCGGACUGGGACCGAUGCGGCUUUCGGGCUGCGUCGGUAUUCUGGAAAGAUGUCCAAACUGUAUCGUUUAGAGGAAGUAAAAGUCGUAACA